AUUUUCUCCUUGGGGGAAAUUAUUGCUUAACUACUGUUAUGUAUUCACUGGCAGUCUUAGCCACUCAGCCAAAGAUAGUUCAAAAAAGGAAGUAGAGAAAGCUGAUUGAAGUGAAAUCCUCAAACUAAAUAUGAAAAAUAGAAGACUUAAGGCUUUAUAUUUUUCUUUCAUGAAGAAUCCCUAAUGUUCCUGACAUUAGAAAACCAUUUAAAAUCAAACUGCUGUGACUUUAUCAUUGUUGCGUCAUGAUUGCUUUGAUGUCUGAUCAUUUGGAUGUUUAUUCCUGGGACUGCCUUACUCAUUUCCACAGUGGGGCACACUCACAUGGUGGAGGGGUAGGGGAUUGUUUGUGGACACAAAUGGGGAAAUCCUUCUCUGUGUGUGUGUGUGUGCGUGUGUGUGUGUGUGUGUUAGUUACUGUAAGAUUUGGUUAAUAGAUGGGGAGCAGAGGGGACUGAUUUCAAGUAGAAGACAUUUCCUAUGGUUGCCGUGCUUGAGUACCAGCGUUAGCAGUCAUUAUAAGCUUAUGAUAAGCACCCACUCACGCAGCUGAAAUUAUUACUAAAAACUGGUCAUGAAGAUGGCAUUUAUGCAGACCACUAAGCAUCAUACCAGCCAGUUACACAUGCAGAAAUGUGAAUGGUACAUGUAACUUUUCAAGUCAUUAACCACCAGCAUCACAAUUUCCUUUAGGUUCUUAAAAUUGUGUUGUAUGCAUUUGCACAGAACCUAUGGAUUGUUACUCAGACAAUUUAACUGGCUCCUGUUGAAGAUUAUCAGUCUCUCCCUCACUCUGAAUCAGCACGUGGGAGAUUAUAGUUGUUUCCAUCUGUACAGGUUAUCUGAGGACUUGGGUUACCUGAGAAACCACUCUCAAGGAUCAGUGUUUAAUGUGGCCUUUCUAAGAGACAACACCAACAAAGAGCUGCUCUUGGCAGAUGGUACAGGAACAUGGCUGUGAGAAUGUGCUACCCUCAUGGUCCCCUGCUGACCCUCUACACUGGGAAACAUAUGCAUUGUUCAUUUCUCUGAUAUGUGAAUCAAGUAUAACCAUCAAUAACGUAAGCAAUACUAGUGAGCAGCUCUUAUGGAAAUAAUUGGACUGUUAACGGUAUCUGUUCUGAACUUGGGACUUCUCAUUUAUAUAUAAUCAUGCAAAUAGUUUAUUGUUAGCAAUUGAUAGUAGACUUUUGUGUCAUAACAUUUCCUUCGGUUUCUGUAAAACUUUAAGUAUGUGUAAAACUGAUGGUCUUUUUUUUUAAACUUCUUCAAUCCAAUUACAGUACCCAUCUACUCAGACAUGCCUUGAGAACUACAGCAUCAUCAGUGUUACCUAUGAAUUUUAGGCUAGGGUACUUACCUACUAGAGUAGCAUUCAAAAGUAAUUCUACUGAACAAGUAUAAUAUUAAGGAACAGGAGAGCUUAAGGUACAGCAUUAAAGUUUACUUUAUUUUAAAGAUGCAUCACUAACCUGAAACCCAGUGAUUUAUUAUUUUUUUAAUAAAUUAGUAGUAAUCUCAGGAUCUGCA
RNAcentral lists this long non-coding RNA (1530 nucleotides) under Anser cygnoides (Swan goose). Its description in RNAcentral is "lncRNA (ENSACDG00005006259.1)". Lineage: Eukaryota; Metazoa; Chordata; Aves; Anseriformes; Anatidae. The record is from RNAcentral.